This 667-nucleotide ribosomal RNA is filed under the name Uraspis uraspis (whitetongue jack). RNAcentral describes it as "partial 12S ribosomal RNA". It matches the Rfam family "Bacterial small subunit ribosomal RNA", at positions 513 to 1491 of the family's 1533-position model. Lineage: Eukaryota; Metazoa; Chordata; Actinopteri; Carangiformes; Carangidae. The record is from RNAcentral.
CACCGCGGUUAUACGAGAGGCUCAAGUUGACAGACAGCGGCGUAAAGAGUGGUUAAGGAGACUAUAAGACUAAAGCGGAACACCCUCACAGCUGUUAUACGCUUCCGAGGGCAUGAACCCCAACUACGAAGGUGGCUUUAUAUUGCCUGAACCCACGAAAGCUAAGAAACAAACUGGGAUUAGAUACCCCACUAUGCUUAGCCCUAAACAUUGAUAGUUUACCACAUCAAACAUCCGCCUGGGAAUUACGAACACUAGUUUAAAACCCAAAGGACUUGGCGGUGCUUAACAUCCACCUAGAGGAGCCUGUUCUAGAACCGAUAACCCCCGUUAAACCUCACCCUCCCUAGUUCUUACCGCCUAUAUACCACCGUCGCCAGCUUACCCUGUGAAGGCCUAAUAGUAAGCACAAUUGGCACAGCCCAAAACGUCAGGUCGAGGUGUAGUGCAUGAGAGGGGAAGAAAUGGGCUACAUUCGCUGCCUGCCAGCGAACACGAAUGUUGUAUUGAAACAUACAACUGAAGGAGGAUUUAGCAGUAAGCAGAAAAUAGAGUGUUCCGCUGAAACCGGCUCUUAAGCGCGCACACACCGCCCGUCACCCUCCCCAAGCACCUGGACCCAAAUUUUCUUAAACCUACACAAACGCGAAGGAGAGGAAAGUCGUAA